GUCCACGCUGUAAACGAUGGGUGCUAGGUGUCUCGGGUAUUGACCCCUGAGGUGCCGUAGCUAACGCGUUAAGCACCCCGCCUGGGAAGUACGGUCGCAAGACUAAAACUCAAAGGAAUUGACGGGGGCCCGCACAAGCGGUGGAGCAUGUGGUUUAAUUCGACGCAACGCGCAGAACCUUACCCGGGCUAGAAAAGCACGGAACCCUGUAGAAAUACGGGGGUGCCCGCAAGGGAGCCGUGAUCCAGGUGCUGCAUGGCUGUCGU
This 266-nucleotide ribosomal RNA is filed under the name uncultured bacterium. RNAcentral's name for it is "partial 16S ribosomal RNA". It matches the Rfam family "Bacterial small subunit ribosomal RNA", at positions 793 to 1055 of the family's 1533-position model. The record is from RNAcentral.